CUCUUCUGCACCAAUUCUCCUCUCCACUCUUCUCCAGUGCCCCCCACAAACAAAAACGCCAUGGCCACACCCAACAGCAAAAUCCCUGCCACCAAAACCAAAUCGAUACCGGCCCGACUCGAUUCGACGCCUACAACCGCCUCCAGGCGGAUGCCUUCGCAUUUGGCGAGAAACUCCCCAUACCGGAGAUAGUCACAUUCGGCAAGAGCUUGCUCCUCGAAGCCCUCCUCGGGUUCCGGUUCAACGUCCGAGAAGUCGAGAUGGGCACCCGACGGCUUCUCAUCCUCCAAAUGGUCCACGACCCCACCGCAUUAGAGCCCCGGUGUCGGUUUCAGGGUUUCAACUCUCAGUGAACAACCGGAGGUAGUUGCCAAGAUGGCAAGUGGUGUGGGGUUCCAACCGUUGUAUCCAAUCUCGAUGAGCCACUCAAGAUUACCUUUAAGGUACCCAACUCCUCUCUCUUUCUAUAAUAUGCUGACUGAUCUGCUAUAGGCAGAUGAACAACAAAAUCUUUGGUGAAUUUACUCUUGAUUUUGGGUUUGAUAUGUUCUAUCAAUCUUUGAGUAUGUUUUGAAAUUGGGUCUCUCAAUUUUGUUAAGAACACCCAAAAAUUUGCAUAGGAUUUCUUGAUUUUUUUUCCUUUGAGAUGUGGGUCUUUUGAUUUUUUUUCUUGAUCAUGAUUUAUAUUCAUGAUUCUUCAAUAACUUUGGUGCCUUGUUCUUUGUUUGGCUUGGUUUGCAACAACUUGGGGAUGUGCUGUUCCCAA
Long non-coding RNA from Rhododendron vialii, 766 nucleotides. RefSeq lists it as uncharacterized. Lineage: Eukaryota; Viridiplantae; Streptophyta; Magnoliopsida; Ericales; Ericaceae. The record is from RefSeq and is a predicted model, not a curated record. The transcript is spliced from 3 exons.